RNAcentral lists this small RNA (36 nucleotides) under Bombyx mori (domestic silkworm). RNAcentral describes it as "ovarian small RNA-11365". Lineage: Eukaryota; Metazoa; Arthropoda; Insecta; Lepidoptera; Bombycidae. The record is from RNAcentral.
ACCUGAAAUCCUUACCGGGAAACAGAUUAACAAUGC